UUCACUUUCAUCUUGUGGCCUCAAAUAGAAUAAACUUGGGGUGUUGUGGGACAGUUCGUUAGUUUGUCUGGUUCCGUGCCAGCAUCAAUGCAUCCUCGGAAAGGAUAUGUGAAUGUUUAGAAUACAUAAGGUUGCAAGAAAUGCAACCUUGUGGAGCUUCUGAACAAUCACUGAAAAGAUCUUCCACGCACUCUUGAUUUGCACAUUAUUGUGCUUAUCUAUGUCUUAUUGUAUAAAUGUAUUUGUGAAAACUGACUUAUGGUUAGGUGGAUUCUGCUAUUGAUUACUUCUUAGAUAUUGGUUGGGAAGGAUUUCAAGGCACUGAUAUUGAUUAUCAGUAAGAUUUUCAAGUGGGAGCGAGUAGAAAGUAACUUGUACAUUUUUCCUGUAGUAAAUCUGCAGCUGAUCUGAUUAUUCUUCAGUUCUUUUUCCCUCUAGAUUCUUGGGGAGGGUUACCUUUUUUUAACCUGUAUUUCUCUUCCACUCGGAACAGUUACUGACCAAGUGCUUUCUUUGUAGGCUUUGCAGUAUUUGUCUGUCAGGUAUGCAGUUUUCCAAGCUGUAUAUAACUACUGGAAAGAAAAGGUAUUUUUUACUUUCAAAAUGCAGCAUAUGGCUUCUUCAAGUACUAAUGGUGCUUCUCUUUUAGUUUUUGUAACAUGACUCGCUGUCUUUGAUAUCUUCUCUCACUAUCUAUUUUGUCUGAAAACCUUCAAAUUCUUACUUAGCCUUUAAGUCAGAAACUUGGCUUAUAUUUCAUGAUCUUAUACCUUUUGUUCUUUUAUAGAGGGAGCGAUGGCAAAAGUCUAUUCUUCGGCGGUUGCAGCCUCCUCCGCCAGUGAAUGAUACAAACCCAUACAAUGUCUUCAGGCCAAGAGAAAAGGCUCAUCGUCUUCAUACAAGAAGGAUGCAAAGACGGGAAAACAAUAUCCAGUCAUUCGAAAAACUCCGCUUGGUAAGAGUUAUUUUUCUUGUGGUUAUUAUAUUAGUUAAACAUUUUGGUAUAUAUAU
Panicum hallii is the source of this 1011-nucleotide long non-coding RNA. RefSeq lists it as uncharacterized. The record is from RefSeq and is a predicted model, not a curated record. Lineage: Eukaryota; Viridiplantae; Streptophyta; Magnoliopsida; Poales; Poaceae. The transcript has 3 exons.